AGACCCGAAACCCGGUGAUCUAGCCAUGGGCAGGUUGAAGGUUGGGUAACACUAACUGGAGGACCGAACCGACUAAUGUUGAAAAAUUAGCGGAUGACCUGUGGCUGGGGGUGAAAGGCCAAUCAAACCGGGAGAUAGCUGGUUCUCCCCGAAAGCUAUUUAGGUAGCGCCUCGUGAAUUCAUCUCCGGGGGUAGAGCACUGUUUCGGCUAGGGGGCCAUCCCGGCUUACCAACCCGAUGCAAACUGCGAAUACCGGAGAAUGUUAUCACGGGAGACACACGGCGGGUGCUAACGUCCGUCGUGAAGAGGGAAACAACCCAGACCGCCAGCUAAGGUCCCAAAGUCAUGGUUAAGUGGGAAACGAUGUGGGAAGGCCCAGACAGCCAGGAUGUUGGCUUAGAAGCAGCCAUCAUUUAAAGAAAGCGUAAUAGCUCACUGGUCGAGUCGGCCUGCGCGGAAGAUGUAACGGGGCUAAACCAUGCACCGAAGCUGCGGCAGCGAACGUAUCACCCAAGACAACUUUACGGAGUUGACGAUUGACGGAGCGAAGCGACGUCAAAGCGUUCAUUAAAGUCGAGUUGGCUUAGGGAUACGUUCGUUGGGUAGGGGAGCGUUCUGUAAGCCUGUGAAGGUGUGUCGUGAGGCAUGCUGGAGGUAUCAGAAGUGCGAAUGCUGACAUAAGUAACGAUAAAGCGGGUGAAAAGCCCGCUCGCCGGAAGACCAAGGGUUCCUGUCCAACGUUAAUCGGGGCAGGGUGAGUCGACCCCUAAGGCGAGGCCGAAAGGCGUAGUCGAUGGGAAACGGGUUAAUAUUCCCGUACUUGGUGUUACUGCGAAGGGGGGACGGAGAAGGCUAUGUUGGCCGGGCGACGGUUGUCCCGGUUUAAGCGUGUAGGUGUGUGUUCCAGGUAAAUCCGGUUCACUUUAACACUGAGGCGUGAUGACGAGG
This 949-nucleotide ribosomal RNA is filed under the name Salmonella enterica subsp. enterica serovar Typhimurium. RNAcentral describes it as "partial 23S ribosomal RNA". It matches the Rfam family "Bacterial large subunit ribosomal RNA", at positions 711 to 1574 of the family's 2925-position model. The record is from RNAcentral. Lineage: Bacteria; Pseudomonadati; Pseudomonadota; Gammaproteobacteria; Enterobacterales; Enterobacteriaceae. RNAcentral also lists the same sequence under 1 other name.